RNAcentral lists this ribosomal RNA (465 nucleotides) under uncultured bacterium. RNAcentral's name for it is "partial 16S ribosomal RNA". It matches the Rfam family "Bacterial small subunit ribosomal RNA", at positions 28 to 507 of the family's 1533-position model. The record is from RNAcentral.
GACGAACGCUGGCGGCGUGCUUAACACAUGCAAGUCGAACGGUAAGGCUCCAGCUUGCUGGGGUACACGAGUGGCGAACGGGUGAGUAACACGUGGGUGACCUGCCCUGCACUUCCGGAUAAGCCUGGGAAACUGGGUCUAAUACCGGAUAGGACCGCACCCCGCUGGUGCGGCGGAAGGUUUUUUCGGCGGGGUAUGGGGACGCGGCCUAUCAGCUUGUUGGUGGGGUAAUGGUCUACCAAGACGGCGACGGGUACCCGGCCUGCGAGGGUAGUCGGGCACAUUGGAACAGAGACACGACCCGGACUCCUAUGGGAAGAGGCAGUGCGGUGUAUUGGCGUAUGCUGGGAAGCCUGGUGCAGCGCCGCCGUGUGCGGGAUAACGGCUUUCUUGUUGUAGACUCCUUUAACCUACGACGAAGGGUUUUUGACGGUAGUUGGAGAAGAAGCACCGGCUAACUACGUG